GAAACAUCUUACAAGUUAACAUGCACAGGCUGUCCUGAGAGACUAUUAAAGGAGGAUUGUAAGAGAGGAAUAUGCCAACAAGAACUGCAAUGAGGAGUCGUUGACAGGAGGAAACUUUUUAAAAGAGACCACACACUACCUCAUCAACAUGCUUGAAGAUGAUCUGAGCCUGAAGAGGGACAAAGGGCCUAGUGAUAAACUACCUUUCUGCAAGUAUUGACAAUUCUGCUUUUGUAUGGUGAUAAUUUCAGGGAAUACGUGGUGAUGAGGCAUCAGUGUUGCAAUUAUCUGUUUGUGAGUGAUCAAAGAUGUUUCGCAAGC
Molecule: long non-coding RNA, 321 nt
Organism: Lytechinus variegatus (green sea urchin)
Lineage: Eukaryota; Metazoa; Echinodermata; Echinoidea; Temnopleuroida; Toxopneustidae
Exons: 3
Source: RefSeq, a predicted model, not a curated record